UGAGGAAUAUUGGUCAAUGGACGCAAGUCUGAACCAGCCAAGUAGCGUGCAGGAUGACGGCCCUAUGGGUUGUAAACUGCUUUUAUAUGGGGAUAAAGUGGGGAACGUGUUCCCUUUUGCAGGUACCAUAUGAAUAAGGACCGGCUAACUACGUGCCAGCAGCCGCGGUAAUACGUAGGGCGCAAGCGUUAUCCGGAAUUAUUGGGCGUAAAGAGCUUGUAGGCGGUUCGUCGCGUCUGGUGUGAAAGCCCAUCGCUUAACGGUGGGUUUGCGCCGGGUACGGGCGGGCUAGAGUGCAGUAGGGGAGACUGGAAUUCCCGGUGUAACGGUGGAAUGUGUAGAUAUCGGGAAGAACACCAAUGGCGAAGGCAGGUCUCUGGGCUGUUACUGACGCUGAGAAGCGAAAGCGUGGGGAGCGAACAGG
RNAcentral lists this ribosomal RNA (424 nucleotides) under Verrucomicrobiota bacterium. Its description in RNAcentral is "Verrucomicrobia bacterium partial 16S ribosomal RNA". It matches the Rfam family "Bacterial small subunit ribosomal RNA", at positions 355 to 776 of the family's 1533-position model. The record is from RNAcentral. Lineage: Bacteria; Pseudomonadati; Verrucomicrobiota.